UACGGGGGGAGCAAGCGUUGUUCGGAUUUACUGGGCGUAAAGGGCGCGUAGGCGGCGCAACAAGUCACUUGUGAAAUCUCCGGGCUUAACCCGGAGCGGCCAAGUGAUACUGUCGUGCUAGAGUGCGGAAGGGGCUACUGGAAUUCUCGGUGUAGCGGUGAAAUGCGUAGAUAUCGGGAGGAACACCAGCGGCGAAGGCGGCGCUCUGGGCCGGAACUGACGCUGAGGGGCGAAAGCGUGGGGAGCAAACAGG
RNAcentral lists this ribosomal RNA (253 nucleotides) under uncultured bacterium. RNAcentral's name for it is "partial 16S ribosomal RNA". It matches the Rfam family "Bacterial small subunit ribosomal RNA", at positions 524 to 776 of the family's 1533-position model. The record is from RNAcentral.